UACGUAGGGUGCGAGCGUUGUCCGGAAUUAUUGGGCGUAAAGAGCUUGUAGGCGGUUUGUCGCGUCUGCUGUGAAAAUCCGGGGCUCAACCCCGGACUUGCAGUGGGUACGGGCAGACUAGAGUGUGGUAGGGGAGACUGGAAUUCCUGGUGUAGCGGUGGAAUGCGCAGAUAUCUGGAGGAACACCGAUGGCGAAGGCAGGUCUCUGGGCCACCACUGACGCUGAGAAGCGAAAGCAUGGGGAGCGAACAGG
RNAcentral lists this ribosomal RNA (253 nucleotides) under uncultured bacterium. Its description in RNAcentral is "partial 16S ribosomal RNA". It matches the Rfam family "Bacterial small subunit ribosomal RNA", at positions 524 to 776 of the family's 1533-position model. The record is from RNAcentral.